Molecule: ribosomal RNA, 503 nt
Filed under: uncultured bacterium
Lineage: Bacteria
Description: partial 16S ribosomal RNA
Rfam family: Bacterial small subunit ribosomal RNA
Source: RNAcentral
AUUGAACGCUGGCGGCAGGCUUAACACAUGCAAGUCGAGCGGGUUGAUGGUGCUUGCACUAUCACUUAGCGGCGGACGGGUGAGUAAUGCUCAGGAAUCUGCCUAUUAGUGGGGGACAACAUCUCGAAAGGGAUGCUAAUACCGCAUACGUCCUACGGGAGAAAGCAGGGGAUCACUUGUGACCUUGCGCUACUAGAUGAGCCUAAGUCGGAUUAGUUAGUUGGUGGGGUAAAGGCCUACCAAGGCGACGAUCUGUAGCGGGUCUGAGAGGAUGGUCCGCCACACUGGGACUGAGACACGGCCCAGACUCCUACGGGAGGCAGCAGUGGGGAAUAUUGGACAAUGGGGGGAACCCUGAUCCAGCCAUGCCGCGUGUGUGAAGAAGGCCUUAUGGUUGUAAAGCACUUUAAGCGAGGAGGAGGCUCUUUUGGUUAAUACCCAAGAUGAGUGGACGUUACUCGCAGAAUAAGCACCGGCUAACUCUGUGCCAGCAGCCGCGGUAA